RNAcentral lists this ribosomal RNA (767 nucleotides) under uncultured bacterium. RNAcentral's name for it is "bacterial SSU rRNA". It matches the Rfam family "Bacterial small subunit ribosomal RNA", at positions 29 to 833 of the family's 1533-position model. The record is from RNAcentral.
ACUAACGCUGGCGGUAUGCCUUAUACAUGCAAGUCGAACGGUAAGGCCUUCGGGGUACACGAGUGGCGGACGGGUGAGUAACACGUAGGAAUCUACCCUUUAGUGGGGGACAACCAAGAGAAAUCUUGGCUAAUACCCCAUACGCCGAAAGGUGAAAGUAGCAAUACGCUAGAGGAGGAGCCUGCGCUUGAUUAGCUAGUUGGUGGGGUAAAAGCCUACCAAGGCGACGAUCAAUAACUGGUCUGAGAGGAUGACCAGUCACAAUGGGACUGAGAUACGGCCCAUACUCCUACGGGAGGCAGCAGUAGGGAAUCUUGCGCAAUGGACGAAAGUCUGACGCAGCAAUACCGCGUGUGGGAAGAAGCUCCGUGGAGUGUAAACCACUGUCGGAUGGGAAGAAUUAAUGACGGUACCAUCAAAGGAAGCACCGGCUAACUCUGUGCCAGCAGCCGCGGUAAUACAGAGGGUGCAAGCGUUGUCCGGAUUUAUUGGGCGUAAAGCGUCUGUAGGCUGCUUAACAAGUCUGGAGUGAAAGAAUGGAGCUCAACUCCAUACCCGCUUCGGAAACUGUUAAGCUAGAGACAGCUAGGGGUUCGUGGAAUUUCCAGUGUAGCGGUGAAAUGCGUAGAUAUUGGAAGGAACACCAGAGGCGAAGGCGGCGAACUGGAGCUGUUCUGACGCUGAGAGACGAAAGCCAGGGGAGCGAAAGGGAUUAGAUACCCUGUAGUCCUGGCCGUAAACGAUGAGUACUAGCCGUCACGGGAAUC